This 234-nucleotide non-coding RNA is filed under the name Secundilactobacillus oryzae. RNAcentral describes it as "Lactobacillus oryzae T-box sequence". It matches the Rfam family "T-box leader". From Rfam's summary of the family: Uncharged tRNA acts as the effector for transcription antitermination of genes in the T-box leader family. T-boxes are found upstream of many aminoacyl-tRNA synthetase genes and some amino acid biosynthetic genes usually in Gram-positive bacteria. Lineage: Bacteria; Bacillati; Bacillota; Bacilli; Lactobacillales; Lactobacillaceae. The record is from RNAcentral.
AUUUGUGCGAUUGAACAGAAGAGUAAGUUGGUAGAAAGUUAAGAGAGUUAGCGGUAGGUGAGAAGCUAACCUUUCUAUGAACCGAACCACAUCUGUGAGCUGAUUUUCUGAACUUAGAGUAGGGAAAUCCGGAUAGACUCGUUAUGGUCUUCAGGUCUUAUGACUUGAUGAGGUUUGCUGUGUGAACAGUAAACGAAAACGAGGUGGCACCACGAUGUGAAAAUCGUCCUCUUG